This 253-nucleotide ribosomal RNA is filed under the name uncultured bacterium. Its description in RNAcentral is "partial 16S ribosomal RNA". It matches the Rfam family "Bacterial small subunit ribosomal RNA", at positions 524 to 776 of the family's 1533-position model. The record is from RNAcentral.
GACGAACCGUCCAAACGUUGUUCGGAAUCACUGGGCGUAAAGGGCGCGUAGGCGGCUUUUCAAGUCGGGGGUGAAAGCCUGUGGCUCAACCACAGAAUUGCCUUCGAUACUGUUAGGCUUGAGACCGGAAGAGGUGAGUGGAACUGCGAGUGUAGAGGUGAAAUUCGUAGAUAUUCGCAAGAACACCAGUGGCGAAGGCGGCUCACUGGUCCGGUUCUGACGCUGAGGCGCGAAAGCGUGGGGAGCAAACAGG